GAUGAACGCUGGCGGCGUGCCUAAUACAUGCAAGUCGAGCGAACAGAUGAGGAGCUUGCUCCUCUGACGUUAGCGGCGGACGGGUGAGUAACACGUGGAUAACCUACCUAUAAGACUGGGAUAACUUCGGGAAACCGGAGCUAAUACCGGAUAAUAUAUUGAACCGCAUGGUUCAAUAGUGAAAGACGGUUUUGCUGUCACUUAUAGAUGGAUCCGCGCCGCAUUAGCUAGUUGGUAAGGUAACGGCUUACCAAGGCAACGAUGCGUAGCCGACCUGAGAGGGUGAUCGGCCACACUGGAACUGAGACACGGUCCAGACUCCUACGGGAGGCAGCAGUAGGGAAUCUUCCGCAACGGGCGAAAGCCUGGCGGAGCAACGCCGCGUGAGUGAUGAAGGUCUUCGGAUCGUAAAACUCUGUUAUUAGGGAAGAACAAAUGUGUAAGUAACUAUGCACGUCUUGACGGUACCUAAUCAGAAAGCCACGGCUAACUACGUG
This 497-nucleotide ribosomal RNA is filed under the name uncultured bacterium. RNAcentral's name for it is "partial 16S ribosomal RNA". It matches the Rfam family "Bacterial small subunit ribosomal RNA", at positions 28 to 507 of the family's 1533-position model. The record is from RNAcentral.